Molecule: transfer RNA, 76 nt
Filed under: Clostridia bacterium
Lineage: Bacteria; Bacillati; Bacillota; Clostridia
Also listed under: 1 other name
Description: tRNA-Thr
Rfam family: tRNA
About the family: Transfer RNA (tRNA) molecules are approximately 80 nucleotides in length. Their secondary structure includes four short double-helical elements and three loops (D, anti-codon, and T loops).
Source: RNAcentral
GCUGCUGUGGCUCAGCAGGUAGAGCACAUCCUUGGUAAGGAUGAGGUCGGCGGUUCAAAUCCGCUCAGCAGCUCCA